UCAAAUACAUCCAGAAAAAUUAUAGGAAGCGCUGUAUGUCAAGUGCCCAGCAAAUAGGAGCUCAAUAAGCAGUGGGCAAGGCUACUAAUAGCACUGCUAAAGUCACAGCUGGCCUGUUGUCCUUAAAGCCCCAGGGUAGCCCCCAAAGCCCCCUAAUCCCCAAGGGAGCUGACAACGUUUUAUUUACAUUUGUGGUUACCAAUGACUUGUAACAUUGUUUCCUUGGGGAAUUGCUCUGUAUUCUAAAUUCUCUGUGGAGACCCCGGAACUCCUCCCACCUCACCAAGGAAGAGGAGGAAAGUCUUCCAUGGUGGGAAGAAGGUCACAGGGUCAGGGGCGCAGAUACUCUUAAAUACCAGUUAGUGAAAACGGCACAUCAGUGUGAAAAGGCUUACUCCUUGGAAAACUGCUCCCGAGGAUUAUCUGCUAUGUGCCAAGAGAUGCCCUACUUAUUAGAUUGUAUCCUUUAAUCUCGACAACAGUUCUGGGCUUGACUGACUCCUUUUGCAGAUGGGACCCCUAAGGUUCAAGGAGGAAAAGUCUUGCUCUCAAGAUCACUUGGCUAGAGCCUGGGGGAGACCAGACUGGAAUUCAAGUCUGUUUGGCCCCAGAGCCUGUGAUCGUUCCUUAACUUUGCCACAAUGCCUUCAGGUGUCUGAAAAAUGAAGCCAGGUGUCUCGUCAUUUGCAAGUCAGAUAUCUUUAAGCUAGGAUGCCUCUCUGUGUCCCCUCCUGCAGUUAUCUGCCUAAAAGCAGCUCAACCAUGUGACACUGCCUUGAAAAUCCUUCUUGUUUUCACCCUGCAGGCAGAGCCGACAGCCCGCGGAGCAGGAAGCCUGAUUCCCAACCAGGCUCAUUGCUGUGUGUCUGUAAUUAAGGCCCUUGACAUCUCUGAACCUCAUUCUGCAGUUUCAGACAUCCAGGCCAGGCACCGGGCCUUCCCUCCUUCACAAGGCAGAGGGUACAAUGAGCUCACAUCCAGCGGCAUGCCCAGGGACUGGCAGAGAGCCAGCAUCCUACAAAUCCACAGAAUACUACACAGCAAUAAAAAGGGAUGAACGAGUGGUCCGUGUAACCACAUGGCUAAAUCUCCAAAGCAUCAUGCCAAGUGAACAAAGCCAGACCCAAAAGACACAAACUGUAUGCUUCCACUGGAAAGGCCAUGUGAAGUCCCAGUGAGAAGGCGGCCAUCUACAAGUCAGGAGGAGAGCCCUCCCCAGAACCCGACCCUGCUGGCAGCCUGAUCUCAGACUUCCAGCCUCCAGAACUGUGAGGAAAUCAAAUUCUGUUGUUUAAGCCACACAGUCUAUGAUAUGUGUUAUGGCAGCCACAGCAGACUAAGACAAAUAGGGAUAUUAAUUCUGCUCUACUAGUGUGAGCGUAACAAGAAGUAAUAUGUACAUAAGUGCCUUGCUCCAGGAAAACAGACUCUUACCAAACUUUAAUUAAUAGAGUAUUAGGUAGAUGCUUCCAUCUCAGGUAACAGGAAACAUCAACAGGAAACUCAAUUUGGUUUAAACAAUGUUGAAAAUUAUUCUCUCACAUAAGAAGUCUUGAGCUAGGGGGAUUCUAGGGCUGAUGAAUUAAUCAGCCCAGGCCCUCAUCAAAGUCCCAAGUCUAUCUUUCUUUCCUGCCCUCCUCAGCCUGUAAGCAUGGCUGCAAGGUGGCUGCUGUGGUUCCAGCCCUCAACUGCAGACACAAUCCUGUCCAGGGGACAAGAAAAGGAACUAUUUCUUCCCAGGUAAAGACGGUUCCUGUUUCCACAACAGAGUCUCCACGCUGCCUCCCACUUUCAAACCAGAAACUCUCGAGUAGACAGAGAUGCCUUGUGAUCCAAUGAAGCCUGGCCCUGCCCAAAGAUCACCACUCUGCCCAUCCUAGGGGAUCCAGAAAUGCUUCUGAAUUUGUCCUCUGAGGACCUGGACCACGUCAAGAUUUGGAUGUUCAUUGGGAAGCUGUACUAGUCUGUUCUCACGUUGCUAAUAAAGACAUACCCAGGGCCAGGCAAGGUGGCUCACGC
RNAcentral lists this long non-coding RNA (2019 nucleotides) under Homo sapiens (human). Its description in RNAcentral is "HSALNT0290546". The record is from RNAcentral. Lineage: Eukaryota; Metazoa; Chordata; Mammalia; Primates; Hominidae.